This 72-nucleotide transfer RNA is filed under the name Dysgonamonadaceae bacterium. RNAcentral's name for it is "tRNA-Arg". It matches the Rfam family "tRNA". Rfam says of the family: Transfer RNA (tRNA) molecules are approximately 80 nucleotides in length. Their secondary structure includes four short double-helical elements and three loops (D, anti-codon, and T loops). The record is from RNAcentral. Lineage: Bacteria; Pseudomonadati; Bacteroidota; Bacteroidia; Bacteroidales; Dysgonomonadaceae.
GCCUCUGUAGUUCAAUGGAUAGAACGGAAGUUUCCUAAACUUUAGAUUCGGGUUCGAUUCCCGGCGGAGGUA